Molecule: non-coding RNA, 79 nt
Organism: Cordylochernes scorpioides
Lineage: Eukaryota; Metazoa; Arthropoda; Arachnida; Pseudoscorpiones; Chernetidae
Source: the annotation of a GenBank genome assembly
UUCUGGCUGAGGUAGUAGGUUGUAUGGUUGUUAGCAACAACUUGGGAGAACUGUACAACUUGCUAACUUUCCCAGAGGC